GGAAAAAAGUGAAGAAAAAAAUCUAGAGUAUUCCAUGGAAAGAAUGUUGCAUGACUACUACAAGAGUCAGUCCAGGUUCCUGCUUGUUGAAUAUUUUUACCACAUAUUAUAACAGAAAGAUCAGAGCCUUUGGAGUCAGCAGAUCUUGCUUCAAGUCUUAGACCUGCCCCAUACAAGAUAUCUCUUCCUGAUGACUUUCCAAAAUGGAACGCAACGUGGUGGAGUGUAUGGAAAUUCAGGGAGCUUGGAUUUGAUCUUGAUUUUGCUAUUAGCUGGCUCAGUGACCUGGGGCCACUGAAGAAAUCAAAUGAGAGACUUCCGUGAAAAUGCUCAGGAAACGGCAAAGCUCUAUUUUGUUACUACCGUUGGGAAGCAUUUAUUUCACAGAAGCUCCCUGAAGGAAGGUAUGAUGUCCAUCUUGUCUGCUUGAGAAGUAUAAUGUAGUGAUUAUAAUAGAGACU
Long non-coding RNA from Diceros bicornis minor, 461 nucleotides. RefSeq lists it as uncharacterized. Lineage: Eukaryota; Metazoa; Chordata; Mammalia; Perissodactyla; Rhinocerotidae. The record is from RefSeq and is a predicted model, not a curated record. The transcript has 4 exons.